AGUAGCUCUGUGGAAAAUGGCUGUGUGGAGAUUGACUGUGUGGAGACUGGCUGUGUGGAGACUGCCUGUGUGGAGACUGACUGUGGAGACUGUGUGGAGACUGACUGUGUGGAGACUGGCUGUGUGGGGACUGACUGUGUGGAGACAGAUUGUGUGGAGACUGAGUGUAUGGAGACUGUGUGGAGACUGUCUGUGUGGAGACUGGCUGUGUGGGGACUGACUGCGUGGAGACAGAUUGUGUGGAGACUGAGUGUGUGGAGACUGGCUGUGUGGGGACUGACUGUGUGGAGACUGACAGUACAGAGUGGAGUGACUUACUUUGCCUGAUUGAUCCUCUCUGACUCGUUCCUGUACUGUCGUUCUAACUGUAGGCUGAAAAAGCAAAAACAAAUUCAUACUACAGCUCUAUAUGUACAAACUCACAAGUUCAUAUCUAAUUUGUACGAAGGAAAUGAUGAAAACGUUCCCUUAGAUCUUCAAAUUUGUUAUUUUUCUUAUGAAUUAACAGUGUAGCAAAGCUAGCUGAGAUCUGUAAGACAGAAAACUUUCUUUCAAGCAGAGUAAAAUCAGUCAAGCACCUGGAGAAUAGUGCAAAAGCUUUACCGCAUGAAGUAAAGGCUGGUUUACAUAGUACAGGCCAGUUUAUAUGGUAAAAGUCAGCUUACACAGUUGAAGCCAAUUUACACGGUAAAGGCCAGUUUAUAGGAUAAAAGUUGAUAAGUUUACAUGUUAAAGGCCAAUUUAUAAGGUAAAAGUUGGUUUACAAUAUAAAGGCUGGUUUAUAGGGUAAAAGUUGGUAACUUUACAAGGUAAAGAUCGACCGGUUUAUAGGGUAAAAGUUGGUAACUUUACAUGGUAAAGAUUGACCGGUUUAUCGGGUAAAAGUUGGUAACUUACAUGGUAAAGACCAGUUUAUAUGGUAAAAAUUGGUGUAAACGGUAAAGGCCAAUUUAUAAGCUAAAAGUUGGUAACUUUACACAGUAAAGUCCAGUUUAUAAGGUAAAAGUUGGUAAAUUUACAUGGUAACGGCCGGUUUAUAUGGUAAUUUAAAAGUUCGUAAAUAUACAGUCACGGUAAAGGUAAAAGUUGGUUUAAACGGUAAAGGCCGGUUUAUCGGGUAAAAGUUGGUUUACAUGGUAGAGGCCGGUUUAUCAGGUAAAAGUUGGUUUACACGGUAGAGGCCGGUUUAUCAGGUAAAAGUUGGUUUACACGGUAAAGGCCGGUUUAUCAGGUAAAGGCUGGUUUACAUGGUAAAGGCCGGUUUAUCAGGUAAAGGCUGGUUUACACAGUAAAGCAAGCUGUAGAGACCUCGCUGUAUACAGCAAAAUAUAACCCUGUGUACAGUGCUAUUGCAGAUAUCAUAAACCUUCCCACAUUUGUAUAUUUCACCUGUUCAAAUACAGUGUGUUCCUAUUCUCUACAGCAAGUCACAUGAAUAUUUUAUCCCUGGAAUUUGGCUUUAUUUGGGCUUUAAUGAUUUCUUUCAAAACACUGUAAAAUGUUGAAUAUAUUUCAAAUAAUUCUCAAAAGAGCGUUUUUAUAUUCCCAUAACAAGAAACGGAAAUAUCAGUCUCAUCAACCUCAUAUACAGGUGAAAAAUAUGUUACAAAACAUUAUACAAAACGAGGUUAGUACAGCUUGCUUUACACGUAAACUGGCCUUAACAUUCAGCAAAUCAUCUGCUGAAUAGUAUCAAUGCUUCACAUACCUGGUAAAAAGCAAUUAAUUGCUUUCAUUAUAUAUACAAAGCACUCUUAAAAAACUAUCAACAAAUAAUCUGCAAGUCAAGUUAAAAUUACCAUCUUGGUGAAAUUCUAAGUUUAACUAAAUUGUGGGUGGGAUUUUAUUGAGUGACUACAGUCAAAAUGAAUAUUUCAGGGUGUCGAGCCAUUUUUGGUCUAAAAAAUAUAGGAUUAUUGGACUUUUUUUUUGCAGUUUAUAGGGCAAAUAUAGGGAUUUUUACAGCAGAUUUAUAAGAAUAACAAGAGGAUUUUUAUUAAAGACUUUGUAUAAAGUUUAUUGUUUCUGCAUAAAAAUCUGGCAAGCAUAGUAUCUUACUGGAGAAAAAAUAAUAUCAAACAUAAACAAAGACAAAAUCCUUUCAGAUGUGAACAGUUUUCCAUCCAAUAGACAGUUCUUAUACAAUCAUCAUAGUUAUUCUUUUCAUAACAAUCUAAUUAAAUAUCAAUCAAGCAUCAGCUCCUGGAUUUUUUCUUCUUUUUUAUCAUUUUUGAAAAUAGGACUGUCAUUUUUUUUUUUUAAUAUAUACAUGUAUAGGGCUUUAUAGGGAUUUUAAUGACUUAAAGGGAAAGUACAGGAACCUUCAAGUUUAUAGGAAAAUAUAGGAAUACAUAGAAACUUGACACCCUGAUAUUUAAAUUAAACUUGACUGGUGCAUACUAACUCAACUGUGCUGUACUUACAAGAACAAGGGAAAUUCUUGAGCAUCUACAUACGUAAAAUGCAACUGAACCUGAAUUUGGACACUGUAUUUUGACACAGUAAAUGUUUUUCUGACAUAAAAAUUCAUUCUACAAAUUGAAUUUGUAUUAAUUACUAUACAAGGUUAUGUUUCUACAAAAUGGAAUAUUCCUAUCAUUUACAAAAGCUGCAGUAUCGUAGAUCUGACUAAAAUGAAGAAGCUGCAAGAUCCAAUUAAUGUAAUUAGUUGCUCAUGCUUGACAAGCAUGCAGAAUGGACAUACUACAUCUAAAACAUAAAACAUCCACAGUUAAUGGCCACACAGCAUGCCAAAUCUUUGCUACAGGAACUAAAUUGACUCAAACCCAAAUAAGUAAAAGACAAAAUUGUCCCCAAAAGAGUUAAAGCAAAACAUGUCAGAGGGAACAUCAAAUACUCACCAUAUCUCGGGAGAGGCAUAGCUAAAAGAGAAAGUGCAAAAAACACAUGCUUACAACCUUUUUAGUGCAGGCAAGAUGCGUGUCAAGGGUUAAGGCAUGUCCCAGGUUAACUUCACUUCGCUCAGAUCAGCAUCAUGUCGCAUGACCAGGAAAAAAAAAUCAAUGACUUACACACAAACCAUUCAACCGAGGAUAUUAUUUUACAGCCACUGAGCUGCAUGUAAGAAAACCAAAGAAAUUCCAAAGUAAUUUGACAUGAAAAGUUAACGUCAAUAUUUUCAAAUCAUGGAAGUACGGAAGGAAGGUUUUGCAAAAUUAAAGUUUAAUUAAAACCAAUAAACCCACAUUAUUUGUUUUCAAUAUAUGUAAGGAAUAAGCAAAGAUAUUUUGCAAAACAAAUGACUUAUUUGGAAAUUUAAAAUUGAAAUCUAAUUAACACACAUUUUUUUUAAAAAACUAACUGCUGGUACAGACCCACCUAACGAGACCUAUCACUCUAGCACAUCGUAUAAUGCCGGUUGAUUAAUGUGACAAUAGCAAACAUUCACUAGGUGACGGUCACUCCUCCCUCACCCACACACCUCGACCUACUUACUUUGGGCCGUACAGUGGGUGGAAGGGCCUUCUGUUGUAGUAGGAGUAGGGGUCACUCUCCUCCACAUCCAAACUCUCCAGACUCCCCUCAUGUGAUAGUUCAUCCCGGGAACUGUUAAGACUCUGUCAAUGGAAAAUAGGCCUGUCAAACUUCUCAUAUAUACAAGUAAUAUCAAAACUAGUAUAGGAUUAUCCACAUGACCAGUAUCACAUUUGUAUUUUGAUGGUAUAAUGUUGCACAUUUAACAAUGACAGGGACAGAAUUUGAAACAAAUAACCUUUCCGGUGACAUUGAAAUUUAUGCAGUAAUGCACAUUCAUUGAUUUUAAGUCCACUUGUAAACAAAGUGGUGCAAUCAUAUACCAAGAUUUGUACCUGUCGCCUUUCCCGUAACUUGGCAGCCUCAGCAGGGUUAUUGAAGCGAAACAUGUUUGUUUUUCCCAGCAA
Molecule: long non-coding RNA, 3902 nt
Organism: Ostrea edulis (European flat oyster)
Lineage: Eukaryota; Metazoa; Mollusca; Bivalvia; Ostreida; Ostreidae
Exons: 2
Source: RefSeq, a predicted model, not a curated record